AAUUUUUCUAUUAAAUAAUAAAUAUUUAGUUAAUGAGCUUGAAUAAGCAUAU
RNAcentral lists this transfer RNA (52 nucleotides) under Microchironomus tener. RNAcentral's name for it is "partial tRNA-Ser". Lineage: Eukaryota; Metazoa; Arthropoda; Insecta; Diptera; Chironomidae. The record is from RNAcentral.